AAUCAACGCCGGCGGCGUGCCUCAGACAUGCAAGUCGAACGAUUAAAGCUCUCUUCGGAGAGUGUAUAGAGUGGCGCACGGGUGAGUAACACGUAAGUAAUCUACCUUCGAGUGGGAGUAACGUCCGGAACGGACGCUAAUACCGCAUAAUGCAGCGGCAUCGCAAGAUGACAGUUGUUAAAGAAUUUAUUCGCUUGAAGAGGAGCUUGCGGCAGAUUAGCUAGUUGGUAAGGUAAUGGCUUACCAAGG
RNAcentral lists this ribosomal RNA (249 nucleotides) under uncultured bacterium. Its description in RNAcentral is "partial 16S ribosomal RNA". It matches the Rfam family "Bacterial small subunit ribosomal RNA", at positions 32 to 273 of the family's 1533-position model. The record is from RNAcentral.